Molecule: non-coding RNA, 82 nt
Filed under: Roseburia intestinalis
Lineage: Bacteria; Bacillati; Bacillota; Clostridia; Lachnospirales; Lachnospiraceae
Description: ZTP sequence
Rfam family: ZMP/ZTP riboswitch aptamer (pfl RNA motif)
About the family: Previously known as pfl RNA. ZMP is also known as AICAR.
Source: RNAcentral
UAAUUGUUAUAUGACUGACGGAAAAAGUGGAAGAACCACAUGAAGUAUAACGUUUACAAUGCCGACCGUCUGGGCGAGAUAA